GCCCCGUAGCCCAAUGGCAGAGGCAGACGACUUGAAAUCGUCACAGUGUGGGUCUGAGUCCCAGCGGCGGCA
Molecule: transfer RNA, 72 nt
Filed under: Cryobacterium glucosi
Lineage: Bacteria; Bacillati; Actinomycetota; Actinomycetes; Micrococcales; Microbacteriaceae
Also listed under: 1 other name
Description: Cryobacterium sp. MDB1-5 tRNA-Ser
Rfam family: tRNA
About the family: Transfer RNA (tRNA) molecules are approximately 80 nucleotides in length. Their secondary structure includes four short double-helical elements and three loops (D, anti-codon, and T loops).
Source: RNAcentral